This 253-nucleotide ribosomal RNA is filed under the name uncultured bacterium. RNAcentral describes it as "partial 16S ribosomal RNA". It matches the Rfam family "Bacterial small subunit ribosomal RNA", at positions 524 to 776 of the family's 1533-position model. The record is from RNAcentral.
UACGUAGGGGGCUAGCGUUGUCCGGAUUUACUGGGCGUAAAGCGCGUUCAGGCGGUUUGGCAAGUCGGGCAUGAAAUCUCUCGGCUCAACCGGGAGAGGUUGUCCGAUACUGCUGGACUUGAGGGCAGUAGAGGGUGGUGGAAUUCCGGGUGUAGUGGUGAAAUGCGUAGAUAUCCGGAGGAACACCAGUGGCGAAAGCGGCCACCUGGACUGCACCUGACGCUGACACGCGAAAGCCAGGGGAGCAAACGGG